Haplochromis burtoni (Burton's mouthbrooder) is the source of this 1238-nucleotide long non-coding RNA. RefSeq lists it as uncharacterized. Lineage: Eukaryota; Metazoa; Chordata; Actinopteri; Cichliformes; Cichlidae. The record is from RefSeq and is a predicted model, not a curated record. The transcript has 4 exons.
GAACGGUUCAAUAUCGAUACGAGUAUCGUUGCACCCCUAAUAUUUGCAUAUCAUCAGAUCCACCAACUGAGAGGAAGUUUCUCCUGGACCACUCAUAUGGGACUCCUGAAUGGCAGAUUGAUCAUCAGUAUGUCCAGGAGCAAAGUGGCAGAAAGACUUGGACCCUCUUCAGUCCAGUCUGCUCGAAUAUGUUUUGGACCAAAACCGACCUCGAGGAGAACUCCUAGUGAAGGAAGACAAUAUCUGCCUGACUCGGGAAGACUUUUGGAGCCUGGGUUUGGAACAAUCCAUGGAAUCUACUAUUGGGAAUGCUUGUCUGAAGAUUGUGGGCGAAGCUGCACAAAGACAUGGAAAAGAUGUUCACAUUGCUGACCUCUACGUCAGGGCCACCUGGAAGGAUCCACAAGUCAACCUGCUGCGUUGCUUGCCGGUAUGUUUUUUGUUCAUUUUUCUCCUGUGUGUGCAUUUUUACUAAUUUGUACCAAUACCUGUAGGAAAACUUUAGGUCCAAGGAUAUCCUGCUUUUUCCAGCUUGGAGCAGGCAGGCAGGUGAAGCUGACCAUUAUCUGCUCUGUGUGAGUGCCCUUUCUCUUUCUCGCGCUGUUUUUUCAUCUGAUAAUGGAUGCUAACAUGUCUAUUUCAGGCUAUAUUGGUAGCUGAGAGACAGAUACUCUUUCUGGACUCACUUCGCCCUGAUGGUUUUGGAGAUAAUCUCUACCGAGCCAUAUUUAGGUUGACACUAAAGAAAUGAAAAAUUGUUCUGGCCUUGUUCAAUGGCCAAGUGUGUUCUUUGGCUAGGUCGUCUAAAAGCAGCCUCGGUUUCAGGCUUAAAAGUUCAGGAGGGAACCUCGUUCUUAGGCUACUUCAUGAUAGGGAUGCACCGAUACUGGUAUCCAGGCCCAUACGCUUCAAAAGAAAUCGUAUCCAUAUCUUUUGUUAACCAAUACCAUGAACAGAUACUUGAAAUGUGAAAAUCGGUAAAAGUUUCACAGAAAAUGUUUAUUUUUCAUCCAAAUUUAGAAUUUUUGGGUCAUUUCUAUUAAUAUACAUAAAAAAAAAAUCUUAUUCACCGUUAUUAUUUGUAAAAAACACACAAAAAACCUGCCUUCCGAUUCACUACAUUUUCUGUGUGGUAGAAGUAUCAGCAUUGGUAUUUGGUAUCGGCAAAAACUCAGAUCCAAGGAUCUGACGGUCUGAAAAACGUAUUGUUGCAUCCCUACUUCAUGAAUUUUUUUAUU